Astyanax mexicanus (Mexican tetra) is the source of this 993-nucleotide long non-coding RNA. RefSeq lists it as uncharacterized. NCBI's taxonomy places the organism in Eukaryota, Metazoa, Chordata, Actinopteri, Characiformes, Acestrorhamphidae. The transcript is spliced from 2 exons. The record is from RefSeq and is a predicted model, not a curated record.
UUUUUGGCAAAUUAAGUUUUGUUUUUGUAUGCUUUUUAUUUAAUAUGUAAUCACAUUUAAUCACAAUUACUCGCAUUCAUCAUAACAGUAUUUUGAACUGUACAGUUCAAUUGAAUAUUAGCUGAAGUGUAUGAAUAAAGGAAUGAAUAACUAGCAUAGAUUUAAAAGCUCCCUGUAAUGAACAUCAGUCAGUAACAAAUGCUGUAAAUACUGUAUAUCUCUUACAACUCUAGCCCAUUUACUUAUGGUUUAAUGCACAUUAAUACACCUACCAAUUACAAAAUAAUUAUAGAAGAUGCUUAUACAUGCCAGAAGCUAUUUUCAGGAGAUUCAAGGCUACGUAAGCAAGUACUUUAAUUGUAGGAAUGGUGCUUUGAGCACUCACAAUCAUAAUGAAAGUAGACAAAAUAUGUUUCAUAUAUAGCCCUAUAUCCUAUUGACAGAUGUUUGGAGACUAAACUGCUUCAAACACAUGAAGAAAUGUUUGGAAAAAGCUCAAAACAAAGGAAAAAACUAUUGGUAUAGACAGAGAAAAGUGUCUAUUAAAUUUUACAUUUAGUCAAAUAUUUUCUUGUAGUUUAUUUGCGCCGUAAAACAGUAUUUAACAGUUCUACACUCUAAAAAAUAUUUUGUGUUUUAGAUAGAUGUACUAAUAUUAUCAAGUUAUUUUUUUGUAUUUUACUUUAUGUAUUCACCAAAGCUUUCUUUAUCAGUGUUGGUUCAUACAGCUUUAUUCUGUGUUGCUAAGAGUGAUUGUAUGUAUGCUUGGUGCUACAGUGUUCACUCUUGUGUUACUGCAGAAUCAUGCUGUCAGUACUGUCAGUUUUUUUUAAAUCUGAAGAAUGUUGUAUUGUUUUAAUUGUUUUUGUGAUUACACCAAUAUUGUCAAAACUAAAUUCCUUAAACCCAGAAUACCUAAAAAAAACACUGGAGUAAGUUAACAUGAUAACGUGUGAACAAAAUUAUUUUGGAUGAAUAAACUUUAUUAUGUUA